GCUGGGCCAAGUGGUGUGCGCCUGUAAUCCCAUCAGCUUGGGAGACUGAGGCAGGAGGAUAGCAGGUUCAAAGCCAGCCUCAGCAACAGAGAGAUGCUAAGCAACUCAGUAAGACCCUGUCUCUA
This 125-nucleotide small RNA is filed under the name Marmota monax (woodchuck). Lineage: Eukaryota; Metazoa; Chordata; Mammalia; Rodentia; Sciuridae. The record is from RNAcentral.